AACUUUUUGCAAUGUAUCACUUGGCUCUCGCAUCGAUUAAGAACGCAGCGAAAUGCGAUACGUAAUGUGAAUUGCAGAAUUCAGUGAAUCAUCGAAUCUUUGAACGCACCUUGCGCCCCUUGGAAUUCCGAGGGGCACACCCGUUUGAGUGUCGUGAACAUCCUUCAACCUUUCUUGGUUUCUUGACCGGGGAAGGCUUGGACUUUGGGGGUCUUUCAUUGCUGGCCUCUUUGAAGCCAGCUCCUCCUAAAUGGAUUAGUGUGGUCUGCUUUGCCGAUCCUUGACGUGAUAAGAUGUUUCUACGUCUUGGGUUUCGCACUGUCGCUUUAGACCCCGCUUCUAACCGUCUUGCAUUCAAGACAGAGUUUUAAACCUUGACCUCAAAUCGGGUGAGACUACCCGCUGAACUUAAGCAUAUCAAUAAGCGGAGGCC
RNAcentral lists this unclassified non-coding RNA (433 nucleotides) under uncultured Russula. Its description in RNAcentral is "sequence contains ITS2". The stretch from base 1 to 154 matches the Rfam family "5.8S ribosomal RNA". The record is from RNAcentral. Lineage: Eukaryota; Fungi; Basidiomycota; Agaricomycetes; Russulales; Russulaceae.